Molecule: ribosomal RNA, 703 nt
Filed under: Escherichia coli
Lineage: Bacteria; Pseudomonadati; Pseudomonadota; Gammaproteobacteria; Enterobacterales; Enterobacteriaceae
Description: partial 23S ribosomal RNA
Rfam family: Bacterial large subunit ribosomal RNA
Source: RNAcentral
AUAGUGAACCAGUACCGUGAGGGAAAGGCGAAAAGAACCCCGGCGAGGGGAGUGAAAAAGAACCUGAAACCGUGUACGUACAAGCAGUGGGAGCACGCUUCGGCGUGUGACUGCGUACCUUUUGUAUAAUGGGUCAGCGACUUAUAUUCUGUAGCAAGGUUAACCGAAUAGGGGAGCCGAAGGGAAACCGAGUCUUAACUGGGCGUUAAGUUGCAGGGUAUAGACCCGAAACCCGGUGAUCUAGCCAUGGGCAGGUUGAAGGUUGGGUAACACUAACUGGAGGACCGAACCGACUAAUGUUGAAAAAUUAGCGGAUGACUUGUGGCUGGGGGUGAAAGGCCAAUCAAACCGGGAGAUAGCUGGUUCUCCCCGAAAGCUAUUUAGGUAGCGCCUCGUGAAUUCAUCUCCGGGGGUAGAGCACUGUUUCGGCAAGGGGGUCAUCCCGACUUACCAACCCGAUGCAAACUGCGAAUACCGGAGAAUGUUAUCACGGGAGACACACGGCGGGUGCUAACGUCCGUCGUGAAGAGGGAAACAACCCAGACCGCCAGCUAAGGUCCCAAAGUCAUGGUUAAGUGGGAAACGAUGUGGGAAGGCCCAGACAGCCAGGAUGUUGGCUUAGAAGCAGCCAUCAUUUAAAGAAAGCGUAAUAGCUCACUGGUCGAGUCGGCCUGCGCGGAAGAUGUAACGGGGCUAAACCAUG